GCGCAGAGCGCGGAGGAGCCGCGAGCGCUGAGGGAGUCUGCACUAUGGAAACAACCUGUCAAUCCAGCUCAAGGCACACAUAGCCCAGACACCCAUGAGACCCUCUCCGUGGGGACCCUAGAGCACCUAUCAUGAACGAGGAGACCAAGGCCGGCUCCUCAUGGACCCCGUUGGCCUCCAGCUCGGCAACAAGAACCUGUGGAGCUGUCUUGUGAGGCUGCUCACCAAAGACCCAGAAUGGCUGAACGCCAAGAUGAAGUUCUUCCUCCCCAACACGGACCUGGAUUCCAGGAACGAGACCUUGGACCCUGAACAGAGAGUCAUCCUGCAACUCAACAAGCUGCAUGUCCAGGGUUCGGACACCUGGCAGUCUUUCAUUCAUUGUGUGUGCAUGCAGCUGGAGGUGCCUCUGGACCUGGAGGUGCUGCUGCUGAGUACUUUUGGCUGUGAUGAUGGUAAGGGCAGGUGUGAGAGACGCAAAGCAGCCGGGCCAGUACCUGUGUCAUGGGGAGCCGGGAGGAGCCCAGGGACCCACCUAAGUCAGAGAGAGGGUGUAGCCC
This 560-nucleotide small RNA is filed under the name Pan troglodytes (chimpanzee). RNAcentral's name for it is "retained intron". The record is from RNAcentral. Lineage: Eukaryota; Metazoa; Chordata; Mammalia; Primates; Hominidae.